GGACGGGUGAGUAACGCGUGGGCAACCUGCCUUUCACAGAGGGAUAGCCAAAGGAAACUUUGAUUAAAACCUCAUAAAGCCGAAAUGUUGCAUAGCAAGACGGCCAAAGAUUUAUCGGUGAAAGAUGGGCCCGCGUCUGAUUAGUUAGUUGGUGGGGUAACGGCUCACCAAGGCGACGAUCAGUAGCCGACCUGAGAGGGUGAUCGGCCACAUUGGAACUGAGACACGGUCCAAACUCCUACGGGAGGCAGCAGUGGGGAAUAUUGCACAAUGGGCGCAAGCCUGAUGCAGCAACGCCGCGUGAACGAAGAAGGCCUUCGGGUUGUAAAGUUCUGUCCAUAGGGAAGAAACAAAUGACGGUACCUGUGGAGGAAGCCCCGGCUAAAUACGUGCCAGCAGCCGCGGUAAUACGUAUGGGGCAAGCGUUAUCCGGAAUUAUUGGGCGUAAAGAGUGCGUAGGUGGUGGCUUAAGCGCAGGGUUUAAGGCAAUAGCUUAACUAUUGUUCGCCUUGCGAACUGGGUCACUUGAGUACAGGAGAGGAAAGCGGAAUUCCUAGUGUAGCGGUGAAAUGCAUAGAUAUUAGGAGGAACACC
This 594-nucleotide ribosomal RNA is filed under the name uncultured bacterium. Its description in RNAcentral is "bacterial SSU rRNA". It matches the Rfam family "Bacterial small subunit ribosomal RNA", at positions 100 to 710 of the family's 1533-position model. The record is from RNAcentral.